RNAcentral lists this transfer RNA (60 nucleotides) under Alectorobius cerradoensis. RNAcentral's name for it is "tRNA-Cys". The record is from RNAcentral. Lineage: Eukaryota; Metazoa; Arthropoda; Arachnida; Ixodida; Argasidae.
GGUCUUAUAGUUUAUAUUAAAAUUUUAAAUUGCAAGUUUAAAGAAAGGUUUUUAAGACUU